RNAcentral lists this ribosomal RNA (2902 nucleotides) under Klebsiella pneumoniae. Its description in RNAcentral is "23S ribosomal RNA". It matches the Rfam family "Bacterial large subunit ribosomal RNA". Lineage: Bacteria; Pseudomonadati; Pseudomonadota; Gammaproteobacteria; Enterobacterales; Enterobacteriaceae. The record is from RNAcentral.
GGUUAAGCGACUAAGCGUACACGGUGGAUGCCCUGGCAGUCAGAGGCGAUGAAGGACGUGCUAAUCUGCGAAAAGCGUCGGUAAGGUGAUAUGAACCGUUAUAACCGGCGAUGUCCGAAUGGGGAAACCCAGUGUGAUUCGUCACACUAUCGUUAACUGAAUACAUAGGUUAACGAGGCGAACCGGGGGAACUGAAACAUCUAAGUACCCCGAGGAAAAGAAAUCAACCGAGAUUCCCCCAGUAGCGGCGAGCGAACGGGGAGCAGCCCAGAGUCUGAAUCAGCUUGUGUGUUAGUGGAACGGUCUGGAAAGUCCGACGGUACAGGGUGAUAGUCCCGUACACCAAAAUGCACAGGCUGUGAACUCGAAGAGUAGGGCGGGACACGUGGUAUCCUGUCUGAAUAUGGGGGGACCAUCCUCCAAGGCUAAAUACUCCUGACUGACCGAUAGUGAACCAGUACCGUGAGGGAAAGGCGAAAAGAACCCCGGCGAGGGGAGUGAAAAAGAACCUGAAACCGUGUACGUACAAGCAGUGGGAGCACCUUCGGGUGUGACUGCGUACCUUUUGUAUAAUGGGUCAGCGACUUAUAUUCUGUAGCAAGGUUAACCGUAUAGGGGAGCCGCAGGGAAACCGAGUCUUAACUGGGCGUUAAGUUGCAGGGUAUAGACCCGAAACCCGGUGAUCUAGCCAUGGGCAGGUUGAAGGUUGGGUAACACUAACUGGAGGACCGAACCGACUAAUGUUGAAAAAUUAGCGGAUGACUUGUGGCUGGGGGUGAAAGGCCAAUCAAACCGGGAGAUAGCUGGUUCUCCCCGAAAGCUAUUUAGGUAGCGCCUCGUGAAUUCAUCUUCGGGGGUAGAGCACUGUUUCGGCUAGGGGGUCAUCCCGACUUACCAACCCGAUGCAAACUACGAAUACCGAAGAAUGUUAUCACGGGAGACACACGGCGGGUGCUAACGUCCGUCGUGAAGAGGGAAACAACCCAGACCGCCAGCUAAGGUCCCAAAGUCAUGGUUAAGUGGGAAACGAUGUGGGAAGGCACAGACAGCCAGGAUGUUGGCUUAGAAGCAGCCAUCAUUUAAAGAAAGCGUAAUAGCUCACUGGUCGAGUCGGCCUGCGCGGAAGAUGUAACGGGGCUAAACCAUGCACCGAAGCUGCGGCAGCGACACUAUGUGUUGUUGGGUAGGGGAGCGUUCUGUAAGCCUGCGAAGGUGUGCUGUGAGGCAUGCUGGAGGUAUCAGAAGUGCGAAUGCUGACAUAAGUAACGAUAAAGCGGGUGAAAAGCCCGCUCGCCGGAAGACCAAGGGUUCCUGUCCAACGUUAAUCGGGGCAGGGUGAGUCGACCCCUAAGGCGAGGCCGAAAGGCGUAGUCGAUGGGAAACAGGUUAAUAUUCCUGUACUUGGUGUUACUGCGAAGGGGGGACGGAGAAGGCUAUGUUAGCCGGGCGACGGUUGUCCCGGUUUAAGCAUGUAGGCUGGUUGUCCAGGCAAAUCCGGAUAAUCAAGGCUGAGGUGUGAUGACGAGGCACUACGGUGCUGAAGUAACAAAUGCCCUGCUUCCAGGAAAAGCCUCUAAGCAUCAGGUAACAUUAAAUCGUACCCCAAACCGACACAGGUGGUCAGGUAGAGAAUACCAAGGCGCUUGAGAGAACUCGGGUGAAGGAACUAGGCAAAAUGGUGCCGUAACUUCGGGAGAAGGCACGCUGGUGUGUAGGUGAAGUCCCUGCGGAUGGAGCUGAGACCAGUCGAAGAUACCAGCUGGCUGCAACUGUUUAUUAAAAACACAGCACUGUGCAAACACGAAAGUGGACGUAUACGGUGUGACGCCUGCCCGGUGCCGGAAGGUUAAUUGAUGGGGUUAUCCGUAAGGAGAAGCUCUUGAUCGAAGCCCCGGUAAACGGCGGCCGUAACUAUAACGGUCCUAAGGUAGCGAAAUUCCUUGUCGGGUAAGUUCCGACCUGCACGAAUGGCGUAAUGAUGGCCAGGCUGUCUCCACCCGAGACUCAGUGAAAUUGAACUCGCUGUGAAGAUGCAGUGUACCCGCGGCAAGACGGAAAGACCCCGUGAACCUUUACUAUAGCUUGACACUGAACAUUGAGCCUUGAUGUGUAGGAUAGGUGGGAGGCUUUGAAGCGUGGACGCCAGUCUGCGUGGAGCCAACCUUGAAAUACCACCCUUUAAUGUUUGAUGUUCUAACGUUGGCCCCUUACCGGGGUUGCGGACAGUGUCUGGUGGGUAGUUUGACUGGGGCGGUCUCCUCCCAAAGCGUAACGGAGGAGCACGAAGGUUAGCUAAUCCUGGUCGGACAUCAGGAGGUUAGUGCAAUGGCAUAAGCUAGCUUGACUGCGAGCGUGACGGCGCGAGCAGGUGCGAAAGCAGGUCAUAGUGAUCCGGUGGUUCUGAAUGGAAGGGCCAUCGCUCAACGGAUAAAAGGUACUCCGGGGAUAACAGGCUGAUACCGCCCAAGAGUUCAUAUCGACGGCGGUGUUUGGCACCUCGAUGUCGGCUCAUCACAUCCUGGGGCUGAAGUAGGUCCCAAGGGUAUGGCUGUUCGCCAUUUAAAGUGGUACGCGAGCUGGGUUUAGAACGUCGUGAGACAGUUCGGUCCCUAUCUGCCGUGGGCGCUGGAGAAUUGAGGGGGGCUGCUCCUAGUACGAGAGGACCGGAGUGGACGCAUCACUGGUGUUCGGGUUGUCAUGCCAAUGGCACUGCCCGGUAGCUAAAUGCGGAAGAGAUAAGUGCUGAAAGCAUCUAAGCACGAAACUUGCCCCGAGAUGAGUUCUCCCUGAGACUUUAAGUCUCCUGAAGGAACGUUGAAGACGACGACGUUGAUAGGCCGGGUGUGUAAGCGCAGCGAUGCGUUGAGCUAACCGGUACUAAUGAACCGUGAGGCUUAACCUU